Long non-coding RNA from Tupaia belangeri chinensis (Chinese tree shrew), 584 nucleotides. RefSeq lists it as uncharacterized. The record is from RefSeq and is a predicted model, not a curated record. NCBI's taxonomy places the organism in Eukaryota, Metazoa, Chordata, Mammalia, Scandentia, Tupaiidae. The transcript has 3 exons.
CCCCCGGCACCGACCUCUGAGGACAGAGGGUCCCCGCCCUGAGCUGCUCGCCCAGCCCUGCAACCCUGAAUCCAUCACGCCCCAGCCCCCAGCGAGCGCCGGUCCCAGCACAAUGGAACCAGAGGGCAUCUGGAAGACCCAUCCCUGCCCGCCCUCUGUCCUCUCCAGUCGCUCGCCUUCCCUUCUCCCUCCUUCCUCCCAUCCGCCCUUCCACAGUGUCCAGGAGAUAUUAGGAGCGCACCCAAACCCCGCGUCCUCAGUCCGGAAGAGCCUGGACGGGGUGUUCUCUCCCUCCCCAGCUGUUCUCCAUCCAGACUGCCUGGAGGCGGAGACCCUCAGGAUACAGCAGGCACAAGGUGGGGCACGGUGACAAGCAGGCCCCCAACAAGGACCCAGAGUGACGUCAGCCAACCACGGCGAGGUCACCGCCACGCAGGGGCUACCAAGGCACCACGCGCCCGCGAGUCAGCGAGUGAGGGAGGCGGCCUGGAACUCAGGGCAUCUGUCUCAAAAGCCCGACCUCGCCUCGCCGAUGCCCACUGCUUAGGACGGGUCCCCUCCACGUCCCUCCUGCAGGACACACA